UACGUAGGGCGCAAGCGUUAUCCGGAAUUAUUGGGCGUAAAGGGCUCGUAGGCGGUUUGUCGCGUCGGGAGUGAAAAUCCAGGGCUUAACUCUGGACUGGCUUCCGAUACGGGCAGACUAGAGGUAUGCAGGGGAGAACGGAAUUCCUGGUGUAGCGGUGAAAUGCGCAGAUAUCAGGAGGAACACCGGUGGCGAAGGCGGUUCUCUGGGCCUGUACUGACGCUGAGGAGCGAAAGCGUGGGGAGCGAACAGG
Molecule: ribosomal RNA, 253 nt
Filed under: uncultured bacterium
Lineage: Bacteria
Description: partial 16S ribosomal RNA
Rfam family: Bacterial small subunit ribosomal RNA
Source: RNAcentral